GUUAGAAAUGUGUAUUUAAUAAGCUAAAGCCGUUAGAGGGUGGGAAUUUAGACCCAUCUACCAUUUGAUGUAAUAAUAAUUGUUUGAAGUGCUUUUUUGAUGUUUUUAAGAAAUUAUUUGUAAAUUUAAAGUGAAAUAAAUCCUGAGCCCUAGCAAUAACCCUCUAAAAAUGUCUCAUUUAUAGCUUUUCUUCUAAAUAAACUCCAGACAUUUUAUCCAGGCAUCUGAAAAGAAAAAGGUGAAGGUACUGUAGUAUUACUUUUUUCUUAAAAAACUUUCCUUCUCUAUUAUUCGUUGGCUGCCUUCUCAAAUAUCUUCUAAAUUAAUAAUUCCAAAUAUCACAACUAUAUAGGCUAUCUUAUAAAGAUAUACCCCUUAAAUAUCUCUGGAGAUAUAAAGGGUAUAUCUUCAUAGAAGAACUGAUCCCUGAGGUUUUGUGGUUGACGCCUACUGCUGCUGGGCACUAGUUGCGGGCAGUCAUGGUCCCAGAAAUUAAAAUCACAAAAAUAAAGUAAAAUUCAAAGAUAAUUAAGUAGGUAUUCAAUCACAUGACUUUCGUAUACUAUGGAUUACUACCCAUAUUGUUUCAAUACUUAUUUGUUUUUUAUUUGCUCCUAAAGAAUCUAUUUACCUAUAUAUAUAUAUAUAUAUAUAUUUAUCUUAUAAAACCCUUCAUAAUAUGUAAUAUUAUGGUCUAAACAUAAUUUUAUCGAGAAUCUAUUUUCCUAUAUAUGCAAGGUAAUCCAUUAAAAUAGGUACACUCAUUAUCUCGGAAAGUAUUAACUUUUUCAAAAUUUGUCUAUAAUUUACAUCUAUAAUCAGCUCUAUAAUUUACGUCUAUAAUCAGCUCUAUAAUUUUACAUUUCUGCUAUUUUUUGUCACCCUUAUUUUUGAAGGUAAAAUUUACCUGUGAUUGAUUAACACC
Cinara cedri is the source of this 925-nucleotide non-coding RNA. The record is from the annotation of a GenBank genome assembly. Lineage: Eukaryota; Metazoa; Arthropoda; Insecta; Hemiptera; Aphididae.